Molecule: ribosomal RNA, 497 nt
Filed under: uncultured bacterium
Lineage: Bacteria
Description: partial 16S ribosomal RNA
Rfam family: Bacterial small subunit ribosomal RNA
Source: RNAcentral
GAUGAACGCUGGCGGCGUGCCUAAUACAUGCAAGUCGAGCGAACAGAUGAGGAGCUUGCUCCUCUGACGUUAGCGGCGGACGGGUGAGUAACACGUGGAUAACCUACCUAUAAGACUGGGAUAACUUCGGGAAACCGGAGCUAAUACCGGAUAAUAUAUUGAACCGCAUGGUUCAAUAGUGAAAGACGGUUUUGCUGUCACUUAUAGAUGGAUCCGCGCCGCAUUAGCUAGUUGGUAAGGUAACGGCUUACCAAGGCAACGGUGCGUAGCCGACCUGAGAGGGUGAUCGGCCACACUGGAACUGAGACACGGUCAAGACUCCUACGGGAGGCAGCAGUAGGGAAUCUUCCGCAAUGGGCGAAAGCCUGACGGAGCAACGCCGCGUGAGUGAUGAAGGUCUUCGGAUCGUAAAACUCUGUUAUUAGGGAAGAACAAAUGUGUAAGUAACUAUGCACGUCUUGACGGUACCUAAUCAGAAAGCCACGGCUAACUACGUG